GAAAUGCGAUACGUAAUGUGAAUUGCAAAUUCAGUGAAUCAUCGAGUCUUUGAACGCACAUUGCGCCCCCUGGUAUUCCGGGGGGCAUGCCUGUCCGAGCGUCAUUUCUGCCCUCAAGCACGGCUUGUGUGUUGGGCCCCGUCCUCCGAUCCCGGGGGACGGGCCCGAAAGGCAGCGGCGGCACCGCGUCCGGUCCUCGAGCGUAUGGGGCUUUGUCACCCACUCUGUAGGCCCGGCCGGCGCUUGCCGAUCAACCCAAAUUUUUAUCCAGGUUGACCUCGGAUCAGGUAGGGAUACCCGCUGAACUUAAGC
This 312-nucleotide unclassified non-coding RNA is filed under the name plant metagenome. RNAcentral describes it as "partial contains 5.8S ribosomal RNA, internal transcribed spacer 2, and large subunit ribosomal RNA". The stretch from base 1 to 104 matches the Rfam family "5.8S ribosomal RNA", at positions 50 to 154 of the family's 154-position model. The record is from RNAcentral.